This 253-nucleotide ribosomal RNA is filed under the name uncultured bacterium. RNAcentral describes it as "partial 16S ribosomal RNA". It matches the Rfam family "Bacterial small subunit ribosomal RNA", at positions 524 to 776 of the family's 1533-position model. The record is from RNAcentral.
UACGAAGGUGGCAAGCGUUACUCGGAAUUACUAGGCGUAAAGGGCAGGUAGGUGGUCUGGUAAGUCUGUUGUGAAAGCUCCUUGCUUAACGGGGAGAGGUCAACAGAUACUGCCAGGCUUGAGUCUAGGAGAGGGUACUGGAAUUCCCGGUGUAGCGGUGAAAUGCGCAGAGAUCGGGAGGAACACCAAUGGCGAAAGCAGGUACCUGGACUAGUACUGACACUCAGCUGCGAAAGCUAGGGGAGCAAACAGG